AGUGAACGCUGGCGGCGUGCCUAAUACAUGCAAGUCGAACGGAAUUUAAAAGAGCUUGCUCUUUUAAAUUUAGUGGCGCACGGGUGAGUAAUAUAUAGCUAAUCUGCCCCUUGCUGGAGGACAACAGUUAGAAAUGACUGCUAAUACUCCAUACUCCUUUUUACCAUAAGAUAAAUCGGGAAAGAAUUUCGGCAAGGGAUGAGACUAUAUCGUAUCAGCUAGUCGGUGGGGUAACGGCCUACCGAGGCUAUGACGCGUAACUGGUCUGAGAGGAUGAUCAGUCACAUUGGAACUGAGACACGGUCCAAACUCCUACGGGAGGCAGCAGUAGGGAAUAUUGCGCAAUGGGGGAAACCCUGACGCAGCAACGCCGCGUGGAGGAUGACACUUUUCGGAGCGUAAACUCCUUUUGUUAGGGAAGAAUAAUGACGGACCUAACGAAUAAGCACCGCA
RNAcentral lists this ribosomal RNA (453 nucleotides) under Campylobacter gracilis. RNAcentral describes it as "bacterial SSU rRNA". It matches the Rfam family "Bacterial small subunit ribosomal RNA", at positions 29 to 497 of the family's 1533-position model. Lineage: Bacteria; Pseudomonadati; Campylobacterota; Epsilonproteobacteria; Campylobacterales; Campylobacteraceae. The record is from RNAcentral.